This 494-nucleotide ribosomal RNA is filed under the name uncultured bacterium. RNAcentral's name for it is "partial 16S ribosomal RNA". It matches the Rfam family "Bacterial small subunit ribosomal RNA", at positions 28 to 507 of the family's 1533-position model. The record is from RNAcentral.
GACGAACGCUGGCGGCGUGCUCAACACAUGCAAGUCGAACGGUGAAGCGCCUUCCUUUUUGGUGGGUGUGGAUGAGUGGCGAACGGGUGAGUAACACGUGAGUAACCUGCCCCCUUCUUCUGGAUAACCGCAUGAAAGUGUGGCUAAUACGGGAUAUUCUGGGUCUGUCGCAUGAUGGGUCUGGGAAAGAUAUUGUUUCGGUGGGGGAUGGGCUCGCGGCCUAUCAGCUUGUUGGUGGGGUGAUGGCCUACCAAGGCGGUGACGGGUAGCCGGCCUGAGAGGGUGGACGGUCACACUGGGACUGAGACACGGCCCAGACUCCUACGGGAGGCAGCAGUGGGGAAUAUUGCACAAUGGGCGCAAGCCUGAUGCAGCGACGCCGCGUGAGGGAUGGAGGCCUUCGGGUUGUGAACCUCUUUCGCCAGUGAAGCAGGCCUGCCUCGUUUGUGGGUGGGUUGACGGUAGCUGGAGAAGAAGCGCCGGCUAACUACGUG